Molecule: ribosomal RNA, 433 nt
Filed under: uncultured bacterium
Lineage: Bacteria
Description: partial 16S ribosomal RNA
Rfam family: Bacterial small subunit ribosomal RNA
Source: RNAcentral
AACGAACGCUGGCGGCAUGCCUAACACAUGCAAGUCGAACGAGACCUUCGGGCCUAGUGGCGCACGGGUGCGUAACGCGUGGGAACCUGCCCUUAGGUUCGGAAUACCUCCCCGAAAGGGGUGCUAAUACCGGAUAAUGUCUUCGGACCAAAGAUUUGUCGCGUUUGGAUGGGCCCGCGUUGGAUUCGCUAGUUGGUAGUGUACUAGCCUUGCAAGGCGACGAUCCAUAGCUGGUCUGAGAGGAUGAUCAGCCACGCUGGGACUGAGACACGGCCCAGACUCCUACGGGAGGGAGCAGAGGAGAAUACUGGGCAAUGGGGGAAAGUCUGGUCCAGCAAUGCCGGGGGAGAGAGGAAGGGCUUAGGGUUGUAAAGCUCUUUGACACGGGAUGAUAAUGACAGUACCGGGAGAAGAAGCUCCGGCUAACUCCGUG